CUCUGAUUCCACAAAGGAUUCAGGGCAAGGAGGAG
This 35-nucleotide non-coding RNA is filed under the name Alkalibacillus haloalkaliphilus C5. RNAcentral describes it as "L31-Firmicutes ribosomal protein leader". It matches the Rfam family "L31-Firmicutes ribosomal protein leader". The record is from RNAcentral. Lineage: Bacteria; Bacillati; Bacillota; Bacilli; Caryophanales; Bacillaceae.